CGGGACGGGUGAGUAACGCGUGGGUAACCUNCCUCAUACAGGGGAUAACAGUUAGAAAUGACUGCUAAUACCGCAUAAGCGCACAGUGCUGCAUGGCACAGUGUAGAAAAACUCCGGUGGUAUGAGGUGGACCCGCGUCUGAUUAGCUAGUUGGUGGGGUAACGGCCUACCAAGGCGACGAUCAGUAGCCGGCCUGAGAGGGUGAACGGCCACAUUGGGACUGAGACACGGCCCAAACUCCUACGGGAGGCAGCAUG
Molecule: ribosomal RNA, 257 nt
Filed under: uncultured bacterium
Lineage: Bacteria
Description: partial 16S ribosomal RNA
Rfam family: Bacterial small subunit ribosomal RNA
Source: RNAcentral